RNAcentral lists this ribosomal RNA (245 nucleotides) under uncultured bacterium. Its description in RNAcentral is "partial 16S ribosomal RNA". It matches the Rfam family "Bacterial small subunit ribosomal RNA", at positions 524 to 768 of the family's 1533-position model. The record is from RNAcentral.
GACGUAGGAUGCAAGCGUUGUCCGGAAUCAUUGGGCGUAAAGAGUUCGUAGGCGGUUUAUCAAGUCUGGUGUUAAAGCCCGAGGCUCAACCUCGGAUCGGCACUGGAUACUGGUAGGCUGGAGUGCAGUAGAGGCAAGGGGAAUUCCCAGUGUAGCGGUGAAAUGCGUAGAUAUUGGGAGGAACACCAGUGGCGUAAGCGCCUUGCUGGGCUGUUACUGACGCUGAGGAACGAAAGCCAGGGGAG